CGCGGGCGGCGGCGCGCUAUACAGCGAAGGCGGCGCGGCCGCGCUCGCCGCGUUCGCCGAGCGCCACGGCAUCCCGGUCGGCGAGACGCAGGCCGGCAAGAGCGCACUGCCGUGGGACCACCCGCUGAACGCCGGCGCGAUCGGCGUGACGGGCUCGCCCGCGGCGAACGCGCUCGCGCACGAUGCCGAUUGCGUGAUCGCGGUCGGCACGCGGCUGCAGGAUUUCACGACCGGCUCGAACACACUGUUCGCGCGCGCACGCGUCAUCGGCAUCAACGCGAACGCGUUCGAUGCGCUCAAGCAUCGCGCGACGAUCGUGCAGGCGGACGCGCGGCUCGCGCUCGAGGCGCUCGGCGCGCGCCUCGAAGGCUGGCGCGCCGACGCCGCGUGGACGGCGCGCGCGCACGCGCGCGCGAACGCAUGGCGCGACGCCGUCGCGGCCGUCACGCAUGCGCCGCCGCGCGCGCGGGCGCUGCCGUACGACGCCGACGUGAUCGGCGCCGUGCAGCGCUCGGCGCCCGAUUCGGCCGCGCGCGACAUCGCCGUGUGCGCGGCGGGCACGCUGCCCGCCGAGCUGCACAAGCUGUGGCGCGCGGCGGCGCCGGGCGGCUAUCACGUCGAAUACGGCUAUUCGUGCAUGGGCUACGAGAUCGCGGGCGGGCUCGGCGCGAAGCUCGCGAAGCCCGAGCGCGAGGUGAUCGUGAUGGUCGGCGACGGCAGCUAUCUGAUGAUGAACAGCGAGAUCGCGACGUCGGUGAUGCUCGGCGCGAAGCUGAUCGUCGUGGUGCUCGACAACCGCGGCUACGGCUGCAUCAACCGGCUGCAGCAGGCGUGCGGCGGCGCGCCGUUCAACAACCUGUUCGACGACUGCGUGCAAGGCCCGCUCGGCGCGCCGCGCAUCGAUUUCGCCGCGCACGCGCGCGCGCUCGGCGCGCGCGCGGAGCACGUCGCCGAUAUCGCCGCGCUCGAAGCGGCGAUGGCGCGCGCCCGCGCGUCCGAUCGCACGUACGUGAUCUGCAUCGACACCGAUCCCGCCCGUACGACGCCCGACGGCGGCUGGUGGUGGGAAGUCGCGGUGCCCGAAGUGUCGCCGCGCGACGCGGUGCGCGACGCGCGCGCGGAUUACGAGCGGCACCUCGCCGCGCGCGCGGGCGCUCCCGCCUCUCGUUCAACCCCCUCUACUCCGGAAUCAUCGACAUGAGCGCACCCGACAUCCGUAUCGGCAUCAACCCGCUGUCGUGGAUGAACGACGAUCUGCCGUCGCUCGGCGGCGAGACGCCGCUCGCCGUCGCGCUGACCGAGGGCCGCGAGAUCGGCUACGAGGGCUUCGAGCUCGGCAACAAGUUUCCGCGCGAGCCGCAGGCGCUGAAGGCGCUCCUCGCGCAGUACGACCUGUCGCUCGUGUCCGGCUGGUAUUCGGGCCG
RNAcentral lists this ribosomal RNA (1424 nucleotides) under Burkholderia mallei JHU. RNAcentral describes it as "16S ribosomal RNA". The record is from RNAcentral. Lineage: Bacteria; Pseudomonadati; Pseudomonadota; Betaproteobacteria; Burkholderiales; Burkholderiaceae.